Lycium barbarum (goji berry) is the source of this 996-nucleotide long non-coding RNA. RefSeq lists it as uncharacterized. The transcript has 2 exons. The record is from RefSeq and is a predicted model, not a curated record. NCBI's taxonomy places the organism in Eukaryota, Viridiplantae, Streptophyta, Magnoliopsida, Solanales, Solanaceae.
ACAAAUGGUGCUUAGGGUUAUAUUUAAAUGACAAAGCGAAGCCUACCUCAAAGAUGAGGGAUUUACUGAGUUUAGCAUUGAUUAUGCACAUUUCAAAUUAAUGGCAGAAUCAUGGCACAAAAUGGAUUCUGUGCACGACCUCUGGCUAUUUCUGUCUGUUAUUAAGGAAGUAGGGUUAGAAACCAUGAAAAUUUACUUGUCCAAAUAAAGGAAUAAGAAUAAAUAUUUAUAGCUUUUACUUGGUUUUCAGCGGCUGCAUUGAAACACUGUUAUGUGGUACGCACAAGCCAAUAAAUUUUUGGAUGCUCAUCUGAUAUAGAUUCUGCAAUUUUUUUGAAGGUUAACUGGUUAGAUAUCAAAUUGGUUGCUCUAGGUGAUAUUUGUCUCUUAUUGGCUUUGUUGUACUUUGGUAGGGAUUUGAUAUCGAAGAUUUUCCUGGACGGUGUUGGAUGACGAUUGUCUUCCCCCUGCCAUACUACUUGGAUUGUCCAAAGAAUGUGAACAAGUUGAAGGAUUAUGCUGGAAGGGCACUUAAGCUAUACAAUGAUAGUAAUGGCACCAGCUAUGUGGUUGAUGAGAUUUUGAAGGUCAAUGGAGGUGGUUGCCGUGCUUUUAUUUUCUAUAUUACCUUUUCUGUCAAAAACGGCGUGGACAACAUUUUUCAAGCCAAGGUGUCGGAAGAUAUAGGUUAUCAUUUGGAGUUUCUUAUCGUCAGGCCAAAGCGUAAGGAGGUUGUGGGGUAAAAGCUGCUGUCAGAACCGUUAGAUAUUCGUUUGUGUUUCUUUUAAUGUUCUUAGCGUGUUUGUGUUUCUUCUGAUGUUUUCAAUAUGUUAAUAUAUCAGUGUUGAGUCUUGGUGGAACUAUGUUUAGUUUAUGUCAUUCCCAAAUGUGCACUUGUUUGUACAAGGAGAACCUUAUGGCAGCUUUUAUAAAGCUCGACUUUUAUUUGACUGCAUUUUGAAAUUGACAGUAUAUCGAACAUUUCCAAAUGCUUUU